UACGUAGGGGGCAAGCGUUGUCCGGAAUCAUUGGGCGUAAAGCGCGCGUAGGCGGCCCGGUAAGUCCGUUGUAAAAGUCAAAGGCUCAACCUUUGAAAGCCGAUGGAUACUGCCGGGCUCGAGUCCGGAAGAGGCGAGUAGAAUUCCUGGUGUAGCGGUGGAAUGCGCAGAUAUCAGGAGGAAUACCCAUAGCGAAGGCAGCUCGCUGGGACGGUACUGACGCUAAGGCGCGAAAGCGUGGGGAGCGAACAGG
RNAcentral lists this ribosomal RNA (253 nucleotides) under uncultured bacterium. RNAcentral's name for it is "partial 16S ribosomal RNA". It matches the Rfam family "Bacterial small subunit ribosomal RNA", at positions 524 to 776 of the family's 1533-position model. The record is from RNAcentral.